GAGUAAAGAUUUCGGUCGCUUUGGGAGGAGCUCGCUUACUAUCAGCUUGUUGGUAGGGUAAUGGCCUACCAAGGCUAUGACGGUUAGGGGGUGUGAGAGCAUGACCCCCAGCAUUGGCACUGAAACACUGGCCAAACACCUACGGGUGGCUGCAGUCGAGAAUCUUCCACAAUGGGGGAAACCCUGAUGGAGCGAUGCUGCGUGCGGGAUGAAGGCCUUCGGGUUGUAAACCGCUUUUGUAGGGGACGAAAUUUUUGACGGUACCCUUUCGAAUAAGAGGUUGCUAACUCUGUGCCAGCAGCAGCGGUAAUACAGAGACCUCAAGCGUUAUCCGGAUUUACUGGGCGUAAAGCGUCUGUAGGGGGUUUAUUAAGUUCCAAGUAAAAUUUCAAGGCUCAACUUUGAAUUCGCUUGGAAAACUAAUAAACUGGAGUCUAGCAGAGGUGCAUGGAACUUGUGGUGUAGGAGUGAAAUCCGUUGAUAUCACUAGGAACACCAAAGGCGAAGGCAUUGCACUGGGCUAGCACUGACCCUGAGAGACGAAAGCGUGGGGAGCAAAACGGAUUAGAUACCCGUGUAGUCCACGCCCUAAACGAUGAAUGCUAAAUGUUCGGGGAUUCGACCCCCUGGGUGUUACAGCUAACGCGUUAAGCAUUCCGCCUGGGAAGUACGGCCGCAAGGCUAAAACUCAAAGGAAUAGACGGGGAUCCGCACAAGCGGUGGAGCGUCUGGUUUAAUUCGACAGUAAGCGUGGUACCUCACCAGGGUUUGACAUCCCUUGACAGCCUUGGAAACAAGGUUUCCUUCGGGCAAGGUGACAGGUGCUGCAUGGUCGUCGUCAGUUCGUGCCGUGAGGUGUUCCGUUAAGUCGGGAAACGAACGAAACCCCUAUUGCAUGUUACAAUUUCUCAUGCAAGACUGCCCGGAUAUACUGGGAGGAAGGUGGGGAUGACGUCAGAUCUGCAUGGUCCUUAUACCCUGGGCGACACAGGCGCUACAAUGGCAGAGACAAAGGGUUGCAAAACCGCAAGGUGAAGCUAAUCCCAAAAACUUUGUCUAAGUUCGGAUUGAAGGCUGCAAUUCGCCUUCAUGAAGCUGGAAUCGCUAGUAAUCGUGAAUCAGCCACGUCACGGUGAAUAUGUUCCCGGAUCUUGUACUCACCGCCCGUCACACCAAGAGAGUUGGUAGCUCCCGAA
This 1196-nucleotide ribosomal RNA is filed under the name uncultured organism. RNAcentral describes it as "bacterial SSU rRNA". It matches the Rfam family "Bacterial small subunit ribosomal RNA", at positions 199 to 1425 of the family's 1533-position model. The record is from RNAcentral.